RNAcentral lists this ribosomal RNA (343 nucleotides) under uncultured bacterium. RNAcentral's name for it is "bacterial SSU rRNA". It matches the Rfam family "Bacterial small subunit ribosomal RNA", at positions 1 to 334 of the family's 1533-position model. The record is from RNAcentral.
GUGAGUAGUUCAGAGUUUGAUCCUGGCUCAGGAUGAACGCUAGCGACAGGCCUAACACAUGCAAGUCGAGGGGCAGCACGAAUCAAGCUUGCUUGAUUUGGUGGCGACCGGCGCACGGGUGCGUAACAGGUGUGCAAUCUGUCCAUAAUCGGGGAAUAGCCCAGCGAAAGUUGGAUUAAUGCUCCAUGUGAGUUUUAGAGGCAUCUCUUUAAUUUGAAACGCAAGGAUUAUGGGUGAGCACGCUUCUGAUUAGGUAGUUGGUGAGGUAACGGCUCACCAAGCCGACGAUCAGUAGGGGUUCUGAGAGGAAGGUCCCCCACAUUGGAACUGAGACACGGUCCAA